CCUACGGGCGGCUGCAGUGGGGAAUAUUGCACAAUGGGCGCAAGCCUGAUGCAGCCAUGCCGCGUGUGUGAAGAAGGCCUUCGGGUUGUAAAGCACUUUCAGCGGGGAGGAAGGCGUUAAGGUUAAUAACCUUGGCGAUUGACGUUACCCGCAGAAGAAGCACCGGCUAACUCCGUGCCAGCAGCCGCGGUAAUACGGAGGGUGCAAGCGUUAAUCGGAAUUACUGGGCGUAAAGCGCACGCAGGCGGUCUGUCAAGUCGGAUGUGAAAUCCCCGGGCUCAACCUGGGAACUGCAUUCGAAACUGGCAGGCUGGAGUCUUGAAGAGGGGGGUAGAAUUCCAGGUGUAGCGGUGAAAUGCGUAGAGAUCUGGAGGAAUACCGGUGGCGAAGGCGGCCCCCUGGACAAAGACUGACGCUCAGGUGCGAAAGCGUGGGGAGCAAACAGGAUUAGAUACCCGUGUAGUC
Molecule: ribosomal RNA, 465 nt
Filed under: uncultured Klebsiella sp.
Lineage: Bacteria; Pseudomonadati; Pseudomonadota; Gammaproteobacteria; Enterobacterales; Enterobacteriaceae
Description: bacterial SSU rRNA
Rfam family: Bacterial small subunit ribosomal RNA
Source: RNAcentral